This 491-nucleotide ribosomal RNA is filed under the name uncultured bacterium. RNAcentral describes it as "partial 16S ribosomal RNA". It matches the Rfam family "Bacterial small subunit ribosomal RNA", at positions 29 to 506 of the family's 1533-position model. The record is from RNAcentral.
AGUGAACGCUGGCGGUAGGCCUAACACAUGCAAGUCGAACGGCAGCACAGUAAGAGCUUGCUCUUACGGGUGGCGAGUGGCGGACGGGUGAGGAAUACAUCGGAAUCUACUUUUUCGUGGGGGAUAACGUAGGGAAACUUACGCUAAUACCGCAUACGACCUACGGGUGAAAGCAGGGGAUCUUCGGACCUUGCGCGAUUGGAUGAGCCGAUGUCCAAUUAGCUAGUUGGCGGGGUAAAGGCCCACCAAGGCGACGAUCCGUAGCUGGUCUGAGGGGAUGAUCAGCCACUCUGGAACUGAGACACGGUCCAGACUCCUACGGGAGGCAGCAGUGGGGAAGAUUGGAAACUGGGCGAAAGCCUGAUCCAGCCAUACCGCGUUGGUGAAGAAGGCCUUCGGGUUGUAAAGCCCUUUUGUUGGGAAAGAAAAGCAGCAGGUUAAUACCCCGCUGUUCUGACGGUACCCAAAGAAUAAGCACCGGCUAACUUCGU